Molecule: ribosomal RNA, 497 nt
Filed under: uncultured bacterium
Lineage: Bacteria
Description: partial 16S ribosomal RNA
Rfam family: Bacterial small subunit ribosomal RNA
Source: RNAcentral
GACGAACGCUGGCGGCGUGCCUAAUACAUGCAAGUUGAGCGCUGAAGGUUGGUACUUGUACCAACUGGAUGAGCAGCGAACGGGUGAGUAAUGCGUGGGGAAUCUGCCUUUGAGCGGGGGACAACAUUUGGAAACGAAUGCUAAUACCGCAUAAAAACUUUAAACACAAGUUUUAAGUUUGAAAGAUGCAAUUGCAUCACUCAAAGAUGAUCCCGCGUUGUAUUAGCUAGUUGGUGAGGUAAAGGCUCACCAAGGCGAUGAUACAUAGCCGACCUGAGAGGGUGAUCGGCCACAUUGGGACUGAGACACGGCCCAAACUCCUACGGGAGGCAGCAGUAGGGAAUCUUCGGCAAUGGACGAAAGUCUGACCGAGCAACGCCGCGUGAGUGAAGAAGGGUUUCGGAUCGUAAAACUCUGUUGGUAGAGAAGAACGUUGGUGAGAGUGGAAAGCUCAUCAAGUGACGGUAACUACCCAGAAAGGGACGGCUAACUACGUG